GAUUAACGCUGGCGGCGUGCAUAACACAUGCAAGUCGAACGAUGAAACUUAAAUGAUUUCUUCGGAAUGAACUUAAGUGGAUUAGUGGCGGACGGGUGAGUAACGCGUGAGUAACCUGCCUUACACAAGGGGAUAGCCGUUGGAAACGACUAAUAAUACCCUAUGAAACUAUCACUUCGCAUGAAGCGGUAGUCAAAGUGUUAGCGGUGUAAGAUGGACUUGCGUCUGAUUAGCUAGUUGGUGAGAAAAAAGCCCACCAAGGCAACGAUCAGUAGCCGGCUGGGGGGAGGGUCCGGCCCAUUUGGGACUGGGACACGGCCCAGACUCCUACGGAAGGCAGCAGUGGGGAAUUUUGCACAAUGGGGGAAACCCUGAGGCAGGGAGGCGGCGUGAUUUAGAAGUCCUUCGGGAUGUAAAAAUCUUUUGUAUAGGAAGAAAAUGACAGUACUAUACGAAUAAGGUCCGGCUAACUACGUG
RNAcentral lists this ribosomal RNA (477 nucleotides) under uncultured bacterium. RNAcentral's name for it is "partial 16S ribosomal RNA". It matches the Rfam family "Bacterial small subunit ribosomal RNA", at positions 28 to 507 of the family's 1533-position model. The record is from RNAcentral.